RNAcentral lists this ribosomal RNA (813 nucleotides) under Fusarium equiseti. RNAcentral's name for it is "eukaryotic LSU rRNA". It matches the Rfam family "Eukaryotic large subunit ribosomal RNA", at positions 76 to 919 of the family's 3401-position model. The record is from RNAcentral. Lineage: Eukaryota; Fungi; Ascomycota; Sordariomycetes; Hypocreales; Nectriaceae. RNAcentral also lists the same sequence under 2 other names.
UGCCCUAGUAACGGCGAGUGAAGCGGCAACAGCUCAAAUUUGAAAUCUGGCUCUCGGGCCCGAGUUGUAAUUUGUAGAGGAUGCUUUUGAUGCGGUGCCUUCCGAGUUCCCUGGAACGGGACGCCAUAGAGGGUGAGAGCCCCGUCUGGUUGGAUGCCAAAUCUCUGUAAAGCUCCUUCGACGAGUCGAGUAGUUUGGGAAUGCUGCUCUAAAUGGGAGGUAUAUGUCUUCUAAAGCUAAAUACCGGCCAGAGACCGAUAGCGCACAAGUAGAGUGAUCGAAAGAUGAAAAGCACUUUGAAAAGAGAGUUAAAAAGUACGUGAAAUUGUUGAAAGGGAAGCGUUUAUGACCAGACUUGGGCUUGGUUAAUCAUCUGGGGUUCUCCCCAGUGCACUUUUCCAGUCCAGGCCAGCAUCAGUUUUCGCCGGGGGAUAAAGGCUUCGGGAAUGUGGCUCUCUCCGGGGAGUGUUAUAGCCCGUUGCGUAAUACCCUGGCGGGGACUGAGGUUCGCGCAUCUGCAAGGAUGCUGGCGUAAUGGUCAUCAACGACCCGUCUUGAAACACGGACCAAGGAGUCGUCUUCGUAUGCGAGUGUUCGGGUGUCAAACCCCUACGCGUAAUGAAAGUGAACGCAGGUGAGAGCUUCGGCGCAUCAUCGACCGAUCCUGAUGUUCUCGGAUGGAUUUGAGUAAGAGCAUACGGGGCCGGACCCGAAAGAAGGUGAACUAUGCCUGUGUAGGGUGAAGCCAGAGGAAACUCUGGUGGAGGCUCGCAGCGGUUCUGACGUGCAAAUCGAUCGUCAAACAUGGGCAUG